CCCUUCUACCCCGCCGCCUCCUGACGCCGGGCGUGAUGUCACCACGCCGGCGGCCGCCAUUACAGAGAGCCGAGCUCCGGGACUAGAUCCAGCGGAGCAGGGCUGCGGCCGGCGGCCGGGUAGUGCAGGGAGAGUUCGCGGGUUCGCGCUAGCGCCGAGCAGCCGCCAGCAGCCACACAGGUACCCCGGGAACCGGCGGCGGCGUGUGCGGUGUGGCCCGUGUGCGGGCGGCGGCGCGGGAGUAGCGCGGAGCGGCAGCCGGUUCGGGCGGGUGGCAUCAUGGACGAGAAGGUGUUCACCAAGGAGCUGGACCAAUGGAUCGAGCAGCUGAACGAGUGCAAGCAGCUGUCCGAGUCCCAGGUCAAGAGCCUCUGCGAAAAGGCUAAAGAAAUCCUGACAAAAGAAUCCAAUGUGCAGGAGGUUCGAUGUCCAGUCACUGCCUGUGGAGAUGUACAUGGGCAAUUUCAUGAUCUCAUGGAACUGUUUAGAAUUGGUGGCAAAUCACCAGAUACAAACUACUUGUUUAUGGGAGAUUAUGUUGACAGAGGAUAUUAUUCAGUUGAAACAGUUACUCUGCUUGUAGCUCUCAAGGUUCGUUACCGUGAACGUAUCACCAUUCUUCGAGGAAAUCAUGAGAGCAGACAGAUCACACAAGUAUAUGGUUUCCAUGAUGAAUGUUUAAGGAAAUAUGGAAAUGCAAAUGUUUGGAAAUAUUUUACAGAUCUUUUUGACUAUCUUCCUCUCACUGCCUUGGUGGAUGGGCAGAUAUUCUGUCGACAUGGUGGCCUCUCACCAUCCAUCCAUAGAUACACUGGAUCACAUCAGAGCACUUGAUCGCCUACAAGAAGUUCCUCAUGAGGGUCCAAUGUGUGACUUGCUGUGGUCAGAUCCAGAUGAUCGUGGUGGUUGGGGUAUAUCUCCUCGAGGAGCUGGUUAUACCUUUGGGCAAGACAUUUCCGAAACAUUUAAUCAUGCCAAUGGCCUCACGUUGGUGUCCAGAGCUCACCAGCUGGUGAUGGAGGGAUAUAACUGGUGCCGUGACCGGAAUGUAGUAACGAUUUUCAGUGCUCCAAACUAUUGUUAUCGUUGUGGUAAUCAAGCUGCGAUCAUGGAACUUGAUGAUACUCUAAAAUAUUCUUUCUUGCAGUUUGACCCAGCACCUCGCAGAGGCGAGCCACACGUUACUCGUCGUACUCCAGACUACUUUCUGUAAUGAAAUUUUAAACUUGUACAGUAUUGCCAUGAACCAUAUAUUGGAAAUGGGAAGAGCAACAGUAACUCCAAAGUGUCAGAGAAUAGUUAACAUUCAAAAAACUUGUUUUCACACGGACCAAAAGAUGUGCCAUAUAAAAAUACAAAGCCUCUUGUCAUCAACAGCCGUGACCACUUUAGAAUGAACCAGUUCAUUGCAUGCUGAAGCGACAUUGUUGGUCAAGAAACCAGUUUCUGGCAUAGCGCUAUUUGUAGUUACUUUUGCUUUCUCAGAGAGACUGCAGAUAAUAAGAUGUAAACAUUAACACCUCGUGAAUACAAUUUAACUUCCAUUUAGCUAUAGCUUUACUCAGCAUGACUGUAGAUAAGGAUAGCAGCAAACAAUCAUUGGAGCUUAAUGAACAUUUUUAAAAAAUAAGUACCAAGGCCUCCCCUCUACUUGUGACUUUUGAAAUCAUUUUGUUUAUUUUCAGGGAUACCGUUUAAUUUAAUUGUAUGAUUUGUCUGCACUCAGUUUAUUUCCCUUCUCAAAUCUCAGCCUCAUGUUGUUCUUUGUUAUUGUCAGAACCUGGUGAGUUGUUUUGAACAGAACUGUUUUUUUCCCCUCCUAUAAGACGAUGUUACUGCACAAGAGCCCUGCAGUGUUUUUCAUAAUAAACUUGUGAACUAAAAAAAC
Molecule: non-coding RNA, 1888 nt
Organism: Leptonychotes weddellii (Weddell seal)
Lineage: Eukaryota; Metazoa; Chordata; Mammalia; Carnivora; Phocidae
Source: RefSeq, a predicted model, not a curated record